This is a long non-coding RNA of Scylla paramamosain (green mud crab), 954 nucleotides long. RefSeq lists it as uncharacterized. The record is from RefSeq and is a predicted model, not a curated record. Lineage: Eukaryota; Metazoa; Arthropoda; Malacostraca; Decapoda; Portunidae. The transcript is spliced from 3 exons.
UGGACAACUUGAGCCGGCAAUUGGACUGGACGGCGCUUGAGGGAGGGAAAAGUUGAGUCCGCAGCCUUCUUGAGAGUCCUUUAGCCUCCGCAUUCGGCUCCUAUCGGGAGAAUGGUGACGAUGAAUGAAAUGACCAGGACAUACAGGAAUAAAACAAAUGGUACAAGAUAAUGAUCUGCUGUGGUGCAAGUGGAUGAUCAAUCAGGUAGUAACCACAUGAAAGAUGGAGGAGUACAAGGUGCUGGAGGCAAUAGGACAAGGUUCAUUUGGAAGAGUGUUCCGAGGAAAAUGCCUCCUUAGGGGGCAAAUUGUAGCUCUCAAGUUUAUUCCAAAAAGAAAUAAAGUAGAAAGAGAAUUAAAAAGUCUCCGGCAAGAGUGUGAAAUUCAAAGAGGUCUGGCACAUCCAAAUAUUGUUCGUACAAUUGACUCGUUUGAGACAGAAAAUGAAGUUGUGGCUGUUAGUGAGUAUGUGCCUGGCCAACUUUUUCAACUUUUAGAGUCUAAUGGUCCAUUAAGAGAGGAAAGAGUUCAACAGAUUGCUUGCAACUUAGUUUCAGCAAUUUAUUAUUUGCAUUCUCAUAGAAUUCUCCAUAGAGACAUAAGCCCCAAAACAUUUUGCUCUCAUCAACUAGUGAAGCAAAACUGUGACUUUGGAUCCUCCAGAAAAAUGUGCAUCAAUACCUAUGUAUUGACAUCUGUUAAAGGCACUCCAUUGUAUAUGGCACUUGAAUUAAUUGAGGAGAAACCUUAUGAUCACAAUGCAGAUUUGUGGUCCCUUGGGUGCAUCCUUUAUGAACCACUUCUUGGAAAGCCACCCUUUUGUACCACUUGUAUAGUUCAGUUAAUCAAAAUGGUGAGAAGUGAACCAGUCAUAUGGCCGGGAGGAUGGAGCAAGGAUUGUUCCACUUUUUUACAUGGACUCCUUGAGAAAGAUCCAAGCAAAAGGCUCACAUG